This 200-nucleotide long non-coding RNA is filed under the name Elaeis guineensis (African oil palm). RNAcentral's name for it is "long non-coding RNA (EGUI_LNC010464)". The record is from RNAcentral. Lineage: Eukaryota; Viridiplantae; Streptophyta; Magnoliopsida; Arecales; Arecaceae.
UGGAUAACUCUUUAUCCAGAUGCUUCUUUAAACAUGUUGCAGCCACUUGAUCUCUAAGUCAUGUGAGCUCACCUAACAGUUAUUGCCUGCACUCCUUAGUUAAGCCAGAUCCAUCGUUUACAAGCAGGCGCAAAGCUGUCAUUGGGUCUCUCACCUAAUAGUUAUUGGGCCCAAUCCCAUUUUUACCCCACAGUAACUCU